This is a long non-coding RNA of Thalassophryne amazonica, 96 nucleotides long. RefSeq lists it as uncharacterized. Lineage: Eukaryota; Metazoa; Chordata; Actinopteri; Batrachoidiformes; Batrachoididae. The record is from RefSeq and is a predicted model, not a curated record. The transcript has 3 exons.
UUCAAUAUAAAUGGAGCAAUUUUAAAUUUUGACCCCUGUGUAACUCUUCAAAUGACCCCUUCCCGGCCACAUAUUGCCAAUAUGGGUGGCCGCAAC